UUGCCCGAUUUGGCAGCACAUAUACUAAAAUUGAAACAAUACAGAGAAGAUUAGUAUGGCUCUGUGCAAGAAUGAUAUGCAAAUUCGUGAAGUGUUCCAUAUAUUU
Molecule: small nuclear RNA, 106 nt
Organism: Sorex araneus (European shrew)
Lineage: Eukaryota; Metazoa; Chordata; Mammalia; Eulipotyphla; Soricidae
Source: RefSeq, a predicted model, not a curated record